RNAcentral lists this unclassified non-coding RNA (216 nucleotides) under plant metagenome. RNAcentral describes it as "partial contains small subunit ribosomal RNA, internal transcribed spacer 1, and 5.8S ribosomal RNA". The stretch from base 1 to 53 matches the Rfam family "Eukaryotic small subunit ribosomal RNA", at positions 1778 to 1831 of the family's 1831-position model. The record is from RNAcentral.
GGAAGUAAAAGUCUAACAAGGUCUCCGUUGGUGAACCAGCGGAGGGAUCAUUACCGAGUUUACAACUCCCAAACCCCUGUGAACAUACCAUUUGUUGCCUCGGCGGUGCCUGCUUCGGCAGCCCGCCAGAGGACCCAAACCCUUGAUUUUAUACAGUAUCUUCUGAGUAAAUGAUUAAAUAAAUCAAAACUUUCAACAACGGAUCUCUUGGUUCUC